This is a small nuclear RNA of Parasteatoda tepidariorum (common house spider), 80 nucleotides long. NCBI's taxonomy places the organism in Eukaryota, Metazoa, Arthropoda, Arachnida, Araneae, Theridiidae. The record is from RefSeq and is a predicted model, not a curated record.
GUGUUACAUGAAAGGAGAGAAGGUUAGCACUUCCCUUGACAAGGACGGCAUGUCAACGACAACGUGAAUGAAGAUAUUUU